CUCUGGGGGGCAGAUCUGGGGGAUGCAGGCGAUGCUCCGAUCCAUCUCUCACCCUGUGGCUGCUCCCCCAGGACCGGGCUGGCAGGAGCGCCCGGCUACAGUGCCUGGAGCAUCUCCUGAGCCACUCAUGGCACCCAGCGGUGCCAGGGCAGGCUGGGUGCUCCCCGGCGACUGGGACCACCCUGGGGUCACCCUGCCGGCAUAACCCACUCCCUGACAGUGCCCUGGGGACAGGCCUUUUGCCAGCAGUGAUCAGGUGAGUCCCAUAACCCAAGGGUGCUCCAUGCCUUGGGGGGAGGCUGCUUGCCCAGUGUGGGCUUCUGCACCCAGCAGCCCCAGGGCAUCCUUUGCAGAGGCACCUUCGGGCAUGCUGAGCUCUUCCUCUCCACCCGUGGCCCAUCCCUUCCCCCUCAUCUCUGCUCUCCAGCCAUGCACUCCACAUCCUGCGUGGCCUCCAAGAGCAAAUCCAGCAUCACCUUAGGGAGCUGCGGAGGGAGGAUGGAGCCCAGGGGCCCACUGACCAGAGGAAGAAGGUGAUUUGAGCAAAGGGAUGGGGAGGAGAGUCUCACCCUACACAGCCAUGGUGGGCUUUGGACUGAUGGUGUCUGACCCCUGGAUCCCUGGGCUGUGCUCUGUGCCACACGGUGGGGGAGGUCAGGCCUGAGGGAAGCCUUGGGACUUCCUUGACCUGUCUGUGCAAGUCCAUCACCUUGUCUGGGGCAGAGCUGGGCUGGCAGCCCCGCAGAGACACCCCACAGUGGCCAAGGGGUGGCUGUUGCCAGGCUCUAUCUCAUGGUCUUGCACCCUCUGCCUGCUCCCUGGGGCAGAGCAGUGGUGGAGCCGGGCAGGUUCUCCCCUCCCCUCGGCCAGUUGCAGAGCCCCCAGUCCCUCUCUGCAGCUGUGAAGAUCCUGGAUGGGAUCCAUGACAGGCAUCAGCCCUUAGAUGAGUCUGAAUUACGCAUCCUUGGAGUCCACGUCCUGGAGCGUGAGGCGGUGGGAUGCCUGCUAGAGAUCAGUCCCUCUCCAGGCACAAGUAGACCCCUUAUGUGGGCUGCAGGUGAGUGGGGCCACCUGUGUUUCUGUCCUGUGCAGGAGCAUGAGCAGAGGUGUCAGCGAGAGCAGCUUUGCAUGGAGAAGGCAACAUCUCUGGGAGCCCUGAAGGAUCAGCUGAUCCAGAGACGGGGUGAACAGCGACACCUCCAUCCCACCUCCCUGUCCAUGGGCACCAUGCCUGGCCUCCAACAGCAUGGCUGGGGGUCCCUGGGGCUCCUGCACCAUGUCCAGUGCUGCGUGCAGGAGCUGCAGCAGGAGAAGACACACCACAUGGGCAGCCUGGGAAACCUGUGUGCCCCAGGAGGAGAGCUGAGCACCACAGCGAGAAGUGGGGUAUGGGGACAGCCUGGUCAAAGGGACUCAACUUCUGCCCCAGCCUCACCCAAGCAAGAAGAGAAGAGCUGCACCACAGAGCAUCCCUGGUAGGAAGAAGUCCUGCAGUGGGGUGAGGACACCAGAGUUUUGUUUCUAACCUAGAGACCAUAGGCAGAUCCCCCCGCCACCAUAAAUCUGUGUGUCACAGGGCUAGACAUGCCAGGAUCAUUUUUUGAAGGCUGAGGGACAUGCUGGUGGGAGGACCAUGGAGGUCCUAGGGAGCCCUCUCCUGGGUUUGCCUGGAUGAGGCACAGGCUUCCCUACACUCCUCUCCCCACUCUGUGGCUUCUUCUCUGCUCUGCCCAAUCUCCUAUCUCCUACCCUGGGACGUAGCCAUGGAACACAUCUCACAGACAGGUUGGAGGUGACAUUUCCUUUUCUGUUCCGCCACAAGGACAAACAUUUUUGUGGAAUCUGGCUCUUUCUCUGCUGUGACAGAGGCUCCUGAUGGGCCCAAAUGCCACUGGUCCCCCACACCUUGGCAUGAAUGGCAGGAACGAGCAAGUUAUGCUGCCUGAGGGCACUGGAGAGACCUGGCAAGCCCAGACUUCCACCGUUAAUAAGCUGGCUCUAUUGAAGUGUCUGAGCAAGUGCCAGAGGGUGGGCAGAAGUGCAGAGACAGCACGCAGAGGCUGCAGUGAGGCCCAGGUGUUACAGUCACGGGGUUGCAUCAACUUGCCAUGGACACAAUUGCAAAGCUCCUGCAGAUGCCUCAUUACAAAGGGCUGCGUGGCUUGACCCUGGCAAGUGGCCCCAGGCGAGCAGGACCUGGCCACAACGGCCAACCCGGGGGCACUGACCCUGGGGUGGCCACAGGCAGAGAUGUGUAAUGAAAACAACAAUGGGGAACUGUUCUGUUUAGAUGCUUUAAUUUAAUUUUGAGAAGGAGAAACAUAUUUCUCAGUCUCUACACAUCUCACCAGAGAGAAUGCUGGGUUUAAUCUGCUGGAGAAUGUCCAAGGAGAGUCGCUCCGUGGGCAAGGGGGAAAAUGAGAAUUUCUUGCAGUAAUUUAUUACUACGCCUUCUUCCACGGGAAGGGAGGAGAUGAGAAUUGAAAUAUCUGUAUGCUUUCUUUCCAAUUAAAAUAAAAGUGUUUUUCAUUAUGUUUUUCUGCA
This 2544-nucleotide long non-coding RNA is filed under the name Calidris pugnax (ruff). RNAcentral describes it as "lncRNA (ENSCPUG00000003763.1)". The record is from RNAcentral. Lineage: Eukaryota; Metazoa; Chordata; Aves; Charadriiformes; Scolopacidae.